UUGGUGGGACAAGGUGGCCUAGCAGCGUGUUUUCUCCUAAGGCUUGCACCCUGUCAGACCAUACUUGUUCCAACA
Molecule: microRNA precursor, 75 nt
Filed under: Danaus plexippus plexippus
Lineage: Eukaryota; Metazoa; Arthropoda; Insecta; Lepidoptera; Nymphalidae
Description: mir-2755 microRNA precursor family
Rfam family: mir-2755 microRNA precursor family
Source: Rfam by way of RNAcentral